UGUCUUGGCAGGUUAGAUUUUCCUUCAUGCUAGUGGAAAGGGGAUCUACCAGUCCUGGAAACGUGGGCUUAAAGAAGUGAUACUUAGUCAAGAGAGGAAAUAAUUUUCUCAAUUUGUGAAACUAAGAAAUGGAAAGCCCUGAAAAAUUUAAAAAGCUGAUCAAGAUUGUUGGGGGACAGGGUGAAAGGAGAACAAGGAACUGCCUUUGAAGCUCAGAUCCACCUGUCUACUUCUUCUACUCUUCAUGCUUUUUCACUGGAGGAAAUCUAGGAGUCAUCCAGCAUCCAGGGAGAAUACUCAGAGGGAGGGGGUGAGUCAAGUGGACCCAACCCGGCUUCUUCUAUGGAGGGUUGAAGCCAAAUCGACCAGCUACUCAAGGAUCUGUUCAAAAUUGGAAGCAUGAAAUAAAUAGUACAUCCUCAUUGAGGAAGGAAGCAAGGGAAGAUGGGGUGGGAAAGAAAGUGUGGGGAACUAAAUCAGUGUGAGUGAUAGGCCAGGGUUAAGAAGAAAAAGGCAGAGGACACAGCAGCUGGUCUGGGAUCCACAGAUAUAUUCAGGAUUUUCCCUGCAUAGAUAGAAUUGCUGCUUAGGAAUUAUUUCUCAUAGUGAGCUAAUUAUUUUUCUUCCAUGUUAAUACCUCGACCCAGGUUUCAGGACAACUGCCUGGUGGAGUGUGAGCAGAAGGGGUUAGAUGGGUCUGCGCUUCUGGAGCAGGUGUCUGACUGCAGCAAUUCUGGAGUCUCUGAGUCUGUCCUGAAACUACCUCUUUGAGUAGAGACGGGGUUUCACCGUGUUAGCCAGGAUGGUCUCGAUCUCCUGAUCUCGUGAUCCACCCGCCUCGGCCUCCCGAAGGGCUGGGAUUACAGGCGUGAGCCACCGUGCCCGGCCGAUAGUUUGUUUUUAUUGCAGCUCCCACUUAUGAGUGAGAACAUACAGUAUUUGGUUUUCUGCUUCUGAGUUAUUUCAUUUAAGAUAAUGGCCUCCAGCUCCAUCCAUGUUGCUGUGAAAGACAUGGUUUUAUUCCUUUUACGGCGGCAUAGUAUUCCAUGGAACAUUCUUGACCUCCAGAUUAAAAAGAAGGAGAAAGAGAAGGAGAAGGAGGAGCAGGAGGAGGGGGAGGAGGAAGAGGAGGAGAAGGAGAAGAAGUGGAAGAGGAAGAGAAGAAGGAAGAGAAGGAGGAGGAGGAGGAGGAGGAGGAGGAGAAACCUAAAAGAUUAAUUAACACCAUGGAAAGCACUUUGGAAUUGCUUUCUAAACCUGCUAUAAUGAAAACAAAUAGACGUUUUGAUUAAAUGGAUAUCAUUAGGAUGGUAUGUUAUGAUCUUAACCCCUGGUUUAAUGAUCUUAUUAAGACCAAGAAAAAUUCAUUAUGGACUCUCAGAUCAAAUAAUUCAUUUUACAGAGCCAAGGAAAAAAGACUAUCUGUUUGCUCAGGAUGGAAAGACUGUCUUGAAUGUAAGUUAAAAAAAAAAAAAGAAAUUCAGCACUGAGAAGUGUAUAUAACUAUCUUUAUUUCAAAGAGGGGAAAAGCAUAGUCAAAGACAACAACAGUGAAAAGCACAGACUGGGAUGGAAAGAAUGUAGGUCAUGGAGGAGCUUUUGCUUCGAAUCAUUCUUUGCCAUAUUUUGCCUCAGCCCAUCCCCCCCAAAAUGAGGAACUGUGUGAUGAUGUGAUAGGGUGGAUAAACUGGGAUAAUUACAACCUCAUCACUUUUACUUGGAUUAAGCAAGAGGAUUAAGACGAAAUUGCCAAGGAGUUUAAAGAAGACAGAUUACAGACAGGAAAUCAGGAGAGCCGUGGUGAGUAACUGGAAGAGAAUAGCAUGAGAAUCAAGAGAAGGAAGUGGAAAUGGAAUGGAUCAAAAUUAAAUCAGGGAGCAUCCAUGAGAUUCAUAAGGAAUGCUACAUGCCACCAAGAGACAGUGUGUGCCCUCAAAAUGCUGUCAUUGAGACCUGUACUAUAAGGACUCGUUACACUGAGAAAGAUGAUGGAAUGUCUUUUGGCUGAGGUCUUCACCUAAAUAUUUGAAGAAAAAAAAAUAAACUAUUAGACUACUGAGGAACUCCCACUUGAAAGUGUUUAAGAUCAAUUCACCUAAAACCUUAAGGGCAAAAAUUUAACAACACUGCCUGUGGCUUUGCCAAUGGCAAUCUAUUUUCUGUGUCUUGUCAGGGCACACUGAAGGGAGGUUAUAGCUAACUGCUGGCAGUCUUCUUUCAUGUCUCUCUUGAACACAAUACUUCAAGCCAAACCAUUUUGACAUUGCUUUAUCUGUUCAGGCUUGACUACAUAGAGCAUUAAGACCUCAGCCACAUGAACAGGGAAGGGAAAAGAUAGAGGUUGAAUCAGGCAGGGUGAUGGAUAGAAAAAUUAGACUAACUGUAAAGCAGCCCCUUUAAAGUAGUCAACUACUGUGCAAACUUUGUAAAUUCUACUUGAUUAGAUUAAGAAUUAAUGUCUGAGAAUGUCCAAUGCAGAGUGAGGUCCAACCAGUAAAUUAUGCUCGAACUCAAAUCAAUGGGAUGCUGCACAUUUUAUUAUGAGUGGAAACAAUGGCUUAGGUUAGAGAGCAGGGGAUGAUAAAAUACAACUAGAGGAUAAAAAAUGAGUACAAUGUCAAAACUCUACCCUUUGAAUAGAGCAAUUAAUGAGGAUAAUAGCUGAAUCAAAAUAACUGGGCCACAUGACAGAGGAGUAUAUAAAGUUUGUGACCUUACGUACUCACAGAUGCUAAGGUUUUACCCUCUGGCACAAUGGAGUGGUGAUAGGUUCGCUGUCUAGAGAACUGAGCCUGUUGAUAUCUUUUUGCCCAUUUCCCAUCUAGUUGAGAUGGAAAAAGCAUCCAUGGGUAAAACUAGCAGGAUGGGAAAGGCGGUAGUUGACAGAACACAUUACCACAUUUGAUACAGGUCAUUGCCUCUGCUUCUUUCUGCUGAUGGGACUUCUUGUCUGCUAAACUAGACAGUCCCAUGUGUUGUGAAAUUACUUCUUCCAGUCACCUGUAUAUUACCUUGUUACCACUUCCUUCACAGCCAGGGUGCAGAGGGAUCUUCUGUCUUUCCUGAAGACUGAAUUUCAUAAAAAUCUUCCCAGGAGACCUUGUGGUACAGUAGAGAAAGCACAAGUUUUAGAGUCCGGCAAAAAUUAAAUUUCAAUUACAUAAAUGUUAUUUGGGUGCUGUGUUUUACAUAAGGCUCAGUUCUUUAUCUGUGAAUGGAUAUAGUAUUGUCUAUCUUAGGAUGCUAUUGAGAUAAUGAAAUGAGAAAUAAAACAUUUAAAAUCUCUAGCUCACUGGCUGACACUCAACAAGUGUGAAUUUCCUUCACCACACCCUAUAUCAUCUUUGCCCUUCUCUUACAUAGGGUUUCAUGGGACUCACCUUCUGCCGGUUAAUGUACUCUAUCUUUGUGGUCCUCCACGGCAUCUUACCUUCAAGCACAACACAUACCAUUGGGUAUUGUUUUACUCAAGGAUGGCCAGGUGUGUGCCUCUAAUGGCUCAUGGGGAAAAACAAUCUCUCUGUUUAAUCAAGGGUGUCAUUACCAACCAGAUGGUUGAAUAUCUAGAAUUAAUCAGUUAUUGGGUACCUGUAGAAUUUAAAAAACAGAAGGCUGCCAAGUUAAGACAGCCUUGACAACUUGUAUAUACCUUGAAAUUUUGUAUACACAUUGGCAGAAGUAAUACAAACUUUACAUCAUUUCCAUCUUAUUAUAAAGUUGAUACUAAUUGGAUCUCAAUAAGCCUUGACUCUCAUUAAACGAUGCAAAUAUAACCUACCUUUUCUUUCCCUUGACAAGGUUUUUUUUUUUCUGUUGUUUUUGUUGUUUGUUUUGAUGUGUUUUAUAUUAUUUUGUAUUAUUUGGUUUUGCCAUACGAUGGUUACAAACAGAAGAGGUUAAAAUAUUCUUGAAAAUGCAUCAAUAAAUAAUUUAUGUUGUCUUUUAAUCAAAUAACAUAAUGUAUCAGGAUGUUUGCAUUUAGAAUGUUACUGUGUCAUUGUUAAAAUAAUAUAAAUUUGCUGAUUGGUAGCUAUGUUUCAGGGAAUAUGCCAAGUCUGAGAAGAGGUAAUUUUUAAACAUUUAGGACUAUGUAAAAACCUGAGUAAUGCUUGAGAAAUAGUCACAGAGCUGGGCUACUCAAUUUAAAUCAAAAUAUAUGAAGGAGGUCCCAGAACUUCUUUUGAGAGGAGAGAUAAGCUAGUUUACCUACAGAAGUAGGCCUGUUCAGUUUCAAUGGAUAUAUGGUAAGAAACAUUCAGAGAAUCUAAAUCCCUACUAGAAGAAAAAGUAAAAAAUAAUUAUAUUGUGAGAUAACAGUAAGACAUAUGGGUAUUUAAUUAGGAAGCCUAUUGGACUGUACACCAAAGAAACCAGCCUCUCAUGGUGAUGGGACCCUCAGAAUAAAAUGAAGAGGAAGCUCUUAGGUAGGAAUAUCAUCAAGUUGGAGAAAUCAGCAUGGAGCCCUAAUCAUCUUACAAGCAGGGCUUGAGCCUUCUGAGAGUAUUACUCUGUUGUUCUUCCCAUUGAAAAUUUAAUGCAGUAUCUCCAGAGUUUCACAUUGACUCAGAGAACCCGCAAAAUCUCCUGGACUCCUGGGUGGGGUCAGGAUGAGACUUUUCAGCAAGAGUGAGCUUCUGAAAUUGAAAGGGUAUCAGGUGGACUAUGUAGGAGUUUAGUUAUGAAGCUACUGGGAUGAUUUCAGGGUACCUCUUUUCUAGAAGGUUUAGGAGAAAAGCAAGCAAAAAAAAUUUCUUGAUUUAUUGACAUAACUCCUAGGGACAAACAGUGUCACAUACCCUCUGAAUAUAAUAUUUAUGAAAUUCCCCUUCACAUUGUAUAGCGAUCCAUUAAUAAGGAGGAAAUUAUUACAUGUCUCUUCAUAAAGUG
This is a long non-coding RNA of Pongo pygmaeus (Bornean orangutan), 4887 nucleotides long. RefSeq lists it as uncharacterized. The transcript has 5 exons. The record is from RefSeq and is a predicted model, not a curated record. Lineage: Eukaryota; Metazoa; Chordata; Mammalia; Primates; Hominidae.